Long non-coding RNA from Danio aesculapii, 764 nucleotides. RefSeq lists it as uncharacterized. The transcript is spliced from 4 exons. The record is from RefSeq and is a predicted model, not a curated record. Lineage: Eukaryota; Metazoa; Chordata; Actinopteri; Cypriniformes; Danionidae.
UAUGUUUCUUUGCUGGAAGCUCAGCUGUACAGUACACCUGUGCUGUUUUAUUUUUAUUCCAUUUAGCAUCACCAAGAUGAUCUUCUCUUUAAUUAUUCUACUGCUUUGUCCUGUCACCGCAUCUGGAGUAGGUCAAACAGACCAGCCACCUGACAACAUGACAGAGCCUGGAGAUGCUUCUGAUGAGUCUCAGACUACAACAGCACCACUGGAUGUCAUCACCACUGACACAACUACAACUACUACCAACACUUCAUUAUCUACUUGGGUCACCCAGAAAUCUACUGUACUGACAACAUCCAAAUCCACAAUCACCACUCUCAUCUCAACUGAAGCAGAACUUAUAGAGGAAAUAAACAGCACAACCUACAACAAAGCUCUAGAAGACAGAGUUGGACAAGAUAUUGCAGCAAAUCCAGGCCUCAUUGCAGUCCUUUGUAUUUUUUCCAUUGUGGUGGCUGUAGUUGUUGUGUUUGUAAUAGUGAAGGCUGUUCGCUCCAGGAGGCCACGGUUUUGAGAGGCUUGACGAUGUACCUUUGGGCAAGAUAAGUGAGGAUGCACCAUUUGCCCGCUACAAUCCAAAAUGAAUGACGGUUUCUGGCCAUCUCGGUGAACUGCAUAGUUUUGCCACUGAUGUGUUUUACUGAAAUGCACCUUUUUGAUCUGUAGACUAGAUCUGCAAUACCCAGUGUAAUUAAGAAAAGCUGUGAAAAUAUUGUUUUUUUUAUUAUUAUUAUUAUUAAAAUCCCAUAUCUCAAAACAAA